UACGGGGGGGGCAAGCGUUGUUCGGAAUUACUGGGCGUAAAGGGCUCGUAGGCGGCCAACUAAGUCAGACGUGAAAUCCCUCGGCUUAACCGGGGAACUGCGUCUGAUACUGGAUGGCUUGAGAUUGGGAGAGGGAUGCGGAAUUCCAGGUGUAGCGGUGAAAUGCGUAGAUAUCUGGAGGAACACCGGUGGCGAAGGCGGCAUCCUGGACCGGCAUUGACGCUGAGGCGCGAAAGCCAGGGGAGCAAACGGG
This 253-nucleotide ribosomal RNA is filed under the name uncultured bacterium. RNAcentral's name for it is "partial 16S ribosomal RNA". It matches the Rfam family "Bacterial small subunit ribosomal RNA", at positions 524 to 776 of the family's 1533-position model. The record is from RNAcentral.